GAUGAACGCUGGCGGCGUGCCUAAUACAUGCAAGUCGAGCGAACAGACGAGGAGCUUGCUCCUCUGACGUUAGCGGCGGACGGGUGAGUAACACGUGGAUAACCUACCUAUAAGACUGGGAUAACUUCGGGAAACCGGAGCUAAUACCGGAUAAUAUAUUGAACCGCAUGGUUCAAUAGUGAAAGACGGUUUUGCUGUCACUUAUAGAUGGAUCCGCGCCGCAUUAGCUAGUUGGUAAGGUAACGGCUUACCAAGGCAACGAUGCGUAGCCGACCUGAGAGGUGGAUCGGCAACCCGGAACCUGAAACACGGUCCAAACUCCAAGGGAGGCAGCAGUAGGGAAUCUUCCGCAAUGGGCGAAAGCCUGACGGAGCAACGCCGCGUGAGUGAUGAAGGUCUUCGGAUCGUAAAACUCUGUUAUUAGGGAAGAACAAAUGUGUAAGUAACUAUGCACGUCUUGACGGUACCUAAUCAGAAAGCCACGGCUAACUACGUG
Molecule: ribosomal RNA, 496 nt
Filed under: uncultured bacterium
Lineage: Bacteria
Description: partial 16S ribosomal RNA
Rfam family: Bacterial small subunit ribosomal RNA
Source: RNAcentral